RNAcentral lists this ribosomal RNA (816 nucleotides) under Escherichia coli. Its description in RNAcentral is "partial 23S ribosomal RNA". It matches the Rfam family "Bacterial large subunit ribosomal RNA", at positions 2033 to 2843 of the family's 2925-position model. Lineage: Bacteria; Pseudomonadati; Pseudomonadota; Gammaproteobacteria; Enterobacterales; Enterobacteriaceae. The record is from RNAcentral.
UCAGUGAAAUUGAACUCGCUGUGAAGAUGCAGUGUACCCGCGGCAAGACGGAAAGACCCCGUGAACCUUUACUAUAGCUUGACACUGAACAUUGAGCCUUGAUGUGUAGGAUAGGUGGGAGGCUUUGAAGUGUGGACGCCAGUCUGCAUGGAGCCGACCUUGAAAUACCACCCUUUAAUGUUUGAUGUUCUAACGUUGACCCGUAAUCCGGGUUGCGGACAGUGUCUGGUGGGUAGUUUGACUGGGGCGGUCUCCUCCUAAAGAGUAACGGAGGAGCACGAAGGUUGGCUAAUCCUGGUCGGACAUCAGGAGGUUAGUGCAAUGGCAUAAGCCAGCUUGACUGCGAGCGUGACGGCGCGAGCAGGUGCGAAAGCAGGUCAUAGUGAUCCGGUGGUUCUGAAUGGAAGGGCCAUCGCUCAACGGAUAAAAGGUACUCCGGGGAUAACAGGCUGAUACCGCCCAAGAGUUCAUAUCGACGGCGGUGUUUGGCACCUCGAUGUCGGCUCAUCACAUCCUGGGGCUGAAGUAGGUCCCAAGGGUAUGGCUGUUCGCCAUUUAAAGUGGUACGCGAGCUGGGUUUAGAACGUCGUGAGACAGUUCGGUCCCUAUCUGCCGUGGGCGCUGGAGAACUGAGGGGGGCUGCUCCUAGUACGAGAGGACCGGAGUGGACGCAUCACUGGUGUUCGGGUUGUCAUGCCAAUGGCACUGCCCGGUAGCUAAAUGCGGAAGAGAUAAGUGCUGAAAGCAUCUAAGCACGAAACUUGCCCCGAGAUGAGUUCUCCCUGACUCCUUGAGAGUCCUGAAGGAACGUUGAAG